GCUGCGAUGGCCGUGUGGUUAAGGCGUUGGACUCGAAAUCCAAUGGGAUAUUCCCGCGCAGGUUCGAAUCCUGUUCGCAGCG
Molecule: non-coding RNA, 82 nt
Organism: Ciona savignyi (Pacific transparent sea squirt)
Lineage: Eukaryota; Metazoa; Chordata; Ascidiacea; Phlebobranchia; Cionidae
Source: Rfam